Molecule: long non-coding RNA, 730 nt
Filed under: Fukomys damarensis (Damara mole-rat)
Lineage: Eukaryota; Metazoa; Chordata; Mammalia; Rodentia; Bathyergidae
Description: lncRNA (ENSFDAG00000026830.1)
Source: RNAcentral
CUUUAUAUAAACUUCAUUGUUUUUAUUUUCCUCUUAGUAGUACUGUUCCUUUUUGAGGAAAGAUAGGAAUGAAAUUAUUCCAAUAAAUAGUCUGCGUAUUCAGCAUUUACUGAGUGCCCUUCAGUUCCCCUGUGAAAACAAUACACCUGCACACGUAGUGGAGUCAGACGGUAUUUAUCAGGUUAAGAAUUUUGCCGCAAGUGCGAUGAUGACUGAGGAGAAACAAUGGCACCCCUGAUUGCAAAUUCUGAAUUUUCAGAAUGUAAAAGCCUUGCAAGGAAUAACACUAAGGCAUGUUGAUAAAUAGGAAACUUAAGAAAGGUUCAUUGAGCAAUUUUUACAGGAGGGGAAAGUACACUAAUUGCCAUGAUAGCGUACUGUGUUUCCAGGAGGACUGGUGCUUAUUUCACGGUUUGUGUCACUUGUGCGACGAGCUUGCCACGUCCCCCAGGCCUUCAUCCCUGCUCUGCGUGAUGCUCCCGUGUGCACAGAGCUCCUGCUUCUCUUCAAAGCUAGCUUGCAUGGACACUGGUGCCAAGCGUCCGGCACAUGAGGCUGUCGGGGUUCUCUCAUUUGCAACUGCACGUCCUCACCGAUAGAGAAUCCUCACUACUUUAUUAUUUCUCCUUUAGAAAUGAAAUUUGCUGUUGGCAUUCACCAUCUUUCUUUCUAGACAGAGCCCUGAUUAUGAAUUUACUGAUUCAUUAAUAAAGGUAUAUUAUGAGCCAGU